UAAAAUAUUAAUAUUUACAUAAUUUAUUGAUAUAAUAUUCAAUUGUUUGAUAGGUAAUUAAUACAUUCCGACUCACCCAGCAAGAACAUUUUUGUGGUGACAAGGUAAAGAGUAGGAUGACAAUUGGAUGACCCAAAACUUAGACCUCAGUAAGUGAAAAACGUGUUGUUAUCAAUGCUCCUAACUUGUAUCAUUAUCUAACAAGAUUUUCCAGGCAGUGGCAGCUUUAGAAUCCUAUCUUCUCUCAGUUUCCUUUUCCUAGUAGCUGCCAGUUAGGAUGCCAACCAUCCCUGAUUUUAUGUAGGAUGAUGAUAGCCAGGGGCAAAUGAGGAAGACUCACAGAAAUCUAGGACUAAAUAUAAGAAUUUUAAAAAUGGGAGAUUUUUAUGGUAAAGAAUGUGAGGUUUGUAGUUUUUUAAUCUCCACAGGAGAAAUGAACAAAUGAUUCCAUGUAAGAACACUGGAAGAUACUAAAUUCCACCUUGAUAUUUUCCAGGAAUGUCAGUCACAUCCUCAGUCUUGGUUGACUUCCUGAAAGUGUCCUCUCCAGUCUUGAGGGACCUCCUGCUCCAGGAAGCCUGCCCUGAUGUCCCAGCCAGAGAUGGUCCUCUGAAUUUCCCCUGGCCUUCACCUGGCUUCUCUGGGAGCACAGUCACAAUUCAUUGUAUAUUAUCACUAAUUGGAUACUUAUUUCAUGUCCUGUGUUCACAGUGGUAACUAGCAUGUAUACAUUACUUAUAGUUUGAUAACAGCCUUUCUUUCACAUCUACUAAAACAAUGAUAAUUCCUAAUAUUAAUUAUAUUUGCUGUGGGUCAAGUAUUCAUUUAGGGCUUUACUUGGAGUAUUUCAUGUAAUCCCCACGCAGCCCUGUAUCUCUACUAAAAAGAGGAAAAAUUAGCUAGGUAUGGUGGCACCACCUGUAGUUCCAGCUACUCAGGAAGCUGAGGCAGGAGAAUUGCUUGAACCUGGGAGGCGGAGGUUGCAGUGAGCCGAGAUUGUGCCACCACACUCCAGCCUGGCUGACAGAGAGAUUCCGUCUAAACAAACAAACAAAAAAAGCUUUGCUACUCUAAGCACUAACCGCUUCCUCCUCCACCUUCCCUUCUCAGCUUUCCUUCCCAGAAUGCAGAUGCUAUCCUGGAGGGCGAGCUGCCCAAAUGGGAUGUGGAGGCAGCAGCAUGACGACAAAAGAUGCAAUCUGAAGCUGGUGGAGCCACAGGACGGGAGCUGGACAGUGAGGGUUUCAUGGAGGCCGUGCACAGGACUGCCCCCAUCUGCAGGGACACUGUGGUUAUUCAGUCUUGCUGUGCACCUAAGGGCAGUUGCCAAGCGGUGGCAGCUACAAAGCUGGGGAGGGGCUCUGUGAACCAGGGCCUCCUAUGGCUCCUGUUGGGUUUGGGCCAAUGGGAGGCUCCAAGAUACACCUCAGCCUCGCACUCUUGGCUCCCAUUCUUGGUGGGUACAGGUUCCCCCCGCCUUGUGUCUGCAGGCCUAGCACUGGGAACGACUUCCUUCUGAGCUACUUUCUGAGUGCUUCCACCCCUUCCUGGCUUCCUUAAUCCUACCUGCGCCUCUCCAAAGGGUCCCUUCAUUCAAUUAUCUUCAGUUUAACCCUUUGAGCUGCCAUCCAUUUGCUGCACACAGGGACAGGUGGCUCACUGCUUCACAGGCAGCAACCAUACAACUGUGGCUUGUCUUCCUACGUCUUCUGCAUCUGAAUAACAGUUCCUCCUAAAAUGGGAGUGGACAUGGCGGGGGUGUGGCCCUGAAGACUGCACGUGUGCCUCUGCCACACUUUCUGCCUCUUCUCAAACCAAAAUGUAGAUGCAACUCAGCCUCAGCCUGGCAAACAAGACAGAUGAUGGGAAAGCAUGAGGACAGACACACCCCAGGACCUGGAAUAUUCAUUUGGAACUGCAAGUUCCGUGAGCCUAGUGGGUUCUUAACAGUUAAAUGAUGUCUCUGUCGAGAUUGGUGGUAACCUGUAGAAAUGUGAUUUUUAAAAAUACUUUCCAAAAUUUGUCCACAUUUGAAAGAUUAGCAUAACUCAAUGAAUCACUUUUUUUCAAAUAAUCAAAUAAUGGCACAAAAUUGUGCAC
RNAcentral lists this long non-coding RNA (2100 nucleotides) under Homo sapiens (human). Its description in RNAcentral is "non-protein coding lnc-DRD5-3:1". Lineage: Eukaryota; Metazoa; Chordata; Mammalia; Primates; Hominidae. The record is from RNAcentral.